CCUGAGAGGCGUGGUUUUCUGCUGAAGGGCUGGUGCUCGGGGUGAUUUAGCGCUGGGAGGAGCGGGGGGUCCUGGGGAUGCUGAGCCGAGGAUGGGGAUCACAGGCACCGGCUCUCCUUCCCCUAUCGCCGGCUACUCGGACUGCCGCAGGGCGGCCACAGCGACCAUAGCACUGAGACAGCUCUGAGGGAAAAGAGACAGCCAGACCUGAGACAGCUCUGAGGGAAAAGAGACAGCCAGACCUGAGACAGCUCUGAGGGAAAAGAGACAGCCAGACCUGAGAGUGCUCUGAGGAAAAAAGAGACAGACAGAGACAGCUCUGAGGAAAAAGAGACAGACAGAGACUGCUGUGAGGGAAAAGAGACAGCCAGACCUGAGAGUGCUCUGAGGGAAAAGAGACAGCCAGAGCAGAGAGUGCUGUGAGGGAAAAGAGACAGAGCAGAGACUGUUGUGAGGGAAAAGAGACAACCAGAGCAGAGAGUGCUCUAAGGAAAAAAAGAGACAGACAGAGCACAGAGUGCUGUGAGGAGAAAAGAGACAGACAGAGCAGAGAGUGCUGUGAGGGAAAGGAGUGCCCUGAGAGGUGGAACGAGACCUCUGGGGACUGAGGGCAAGAGACACCUCUGAGAGACAUAAAACAACUGUGGGUGAGAGAUUAGACAGCUUUGCGGGAGAAGAGACAGCUGAAUGACCAAGGAGAGGCACCUAGGGACUUAGAGAAAAGAGACAGUCAGAGUCUGGAGGGAAAAGACAGCUAGUGAGUAGGGACAGCUCCUGGUGGGGAACUGGGACUGAGAGACAAGAGAGGUCUGGAAGCCAGUAGAGACAGCUCUGACUGAAGAGACAGAUCUGGCUGCUCGGAAACAUAAGGAUAGACUGCCAAGGCUCAUAGAGGAAAAGGAGACGUCUCUGACUGAGAAGGCAGGGAGAGAAAAGAGACACUUGGGUGAGGAGAGUGGAGAGCUUGAUGCUGAGGGAGAGGCACACAUUGACAGCUUGGGAGACAGCUUGUACUGACAGAAAAUUAGGGUGGGGAGAGAGGGGAGACAGCUAGGCACUGUAGGGAGGGUAGAAGAGACAUCCAAAAAAGGAGGGUAUAACAAGAGACUGUAAGUGUUUAG
Pelobates cultripes (western spadefoot toad) is the source of this 1121-nucleotide non-coding RNA. NCBI's taxonomy places the organism in Eukaryota, Metazoa, Chordata, Amphibia, Anura, Pelobatidae. The record is from the annotation of a GenBank genome assembly.